This 460-nucleotide ribosomal RNA is filed under the name uncultured bacterium. RNAcentral describes it as "partial 16S ribosomal RNA". It matches the Rfam family "Bacterial small subunit ribosomal RNA", at positions 338 to 795 of the family's 1533-position model. The record is from RNAcentral.
CCUACGGGUGGCAGCAGUGAGGAAUAUUGGUCAAUGGACGAAAGUCUGAACCAGCCAAGUAGCGUGAAGGAUGACUGCCCUAUGGGUUGUAAACUUCUUUUAUAUGGGAAUAAAAUGUUCCACGUGUGGGAUUUUGUAUGUACCAUAUGAAUAAGGAUCGGCUAACUCCGUGCCAGCAGCCGCGGUAAUACGGAGGAUCCGAGCGUUAUCCGGAUUUAUUGGGUUUAAAGGGAGCGUAGGUGGAUUGUUAAGUCAGUUGUGAAAGUUUGCGGCUCAACCGUAAAAUUGCAGUUGAAACUGGCAGUCUUGAGUACAGUAGAGGCGGGCGGAAUUCGUGGUGUAGCGGUGAAAUGCUUAGAUAUCACGAAGAACUCCGAGUGCGAAGGCAGUUCACUGGACUGCAACUGACACUGAGGCUCGAAAGUGUGGGUAUCAAACAGGAUUAGAUACCCCUGUAGUC